AAAGGAUGCGCCUCGUGUGCAUAACUCCUCUCAGCUUGUGGGUAAAACUGCUAGCUUGACUGAGUCCUUAACCCUUUGUGAACUUUAUAUUUAUGCUUCGGCAGCACGCCCUUUACGGGGUUGGUAAGGCUGCCGACAGCCCAUUUAAACUAUUUUAUUUAAAUCAUGAAGUCUGAUUACUGUUAAAUUUAAACAAGUUAAAACUUUCAGCAACGGAUCUCUUGGUUCU
RNAcentral lists this unclassified non-coding RNA (229 nucleotides) under rhizosphere metagenome. RNAcentral's name for it is "partial ribosomal RNA internal transcribed spacer region". The record is from RNAcentral.